UACAGAGGUGGCAAGCGUUACUCGGAAUUAUUGGGUGUAAAGGGCAGGUAGGUGGCUCUGUAAGUGAGGGGUGAAAUCCCACGGUUCAAUCGUGGAACAGCCUUUCAAACUGUAGAGCUUGAGAGAAACAGAGGAAGAUGGAAUUCCCGGUGUAAGGGUGAAAUCUGUAGAUAUCGGGAAGAACACCAACGGCGAAGGCAAUCUUCUGGGUUUCUUCUGACACUGAGCUGCGAAAGCUAGGGGAGCAAACAGAAUUAGAUACUCUGGUAGUCCUAGCCGUAAACGAUGAAUACUAGGUGUUGGGUCCUUCGGGACUCAGUGCCGAAGCUAACGCAUUAAGUAUUCCACCUGGGGACUACGAUCGCAAGGUUAAA
Molecule: ribosomal RNA, 374 nt
Filed under: uncultured bacterium
Lineage: Bacteria
Description: bacterial SSU rRNA
Rfam family: Bacterial small subunit ribosomal RNA
Source: RNAcentral